GGGCGUAAAGAGCUCGUAGGUCGUUUGUCGCGUCGAUUGUGAAAAUCUGAGGCUCAACCUCAGACCUGCAGUCGAUACGGGCAAACUAGAGUGUGGUAGGGGAGACUGGAAUUCCUGGUGUAGCGGUGGAAUGCGCAGAUAUCAGGAGGAACACCAAUGGCAAAGGCAGGUCUCUGGGCCAUAACUGACACUGAGGAGCGAAAGUGCGGGGAGCGAACAGGAUUAGAUACCCUGGUAGUCCGCACCGUAAACGGUGGGCACUAGUUGUGGGAACCUUCCACGGUUUCCGCGACGCAGCAAACGCAUUAAGUGCCCCGCCUGGGGAGUACGAUCGCAAGAUUAAAACUCAAAGGAAUUGACGGGGUCCCGCACAAGCAGCGGAGCAUGCGGCUUAAUUCGACGCAACGCGAAGAACCUUACCAAGGCUUGACAUAUAGCGAAAAGUGGCAGAGAUGUCAUGUCCGCAAGGGCGCUAUACAGGUGGUGCAUGGUUGUCGUCAGCUCGUGUCGUGAGAUGUUGGGUUAAGUCCCGCAACGAGCGCAACCCUCGUUCUGUGUUACCAGCAUUCAGUUGGGGACUCACAGGAGACUGCCGGGGUCAACUCGGAGGAAGGUAAU
Molecule: ribosomal RNA, 618 nt
Filed under: uncultured Actinomycetes bacterium
Lineage: Bacteria; Bacillati; Actinomycetota; Actinomycetes
Description: bacterial SSU rRNA
Rfam family: Bacterial small subunit ribosomal RNA
Source: RNAcentral